Unclassified non-coding RNA from Vulpes vulpes (red fox), 306 nucleotides. Its record names the gene 7SK. It matches the Rfam family "7SK RNA". From Rfam's summary of the family: 7SK was discovered as an abundant small nuclear RNA in the mid-70s but a possible function has only recently been suggested. Two independent studies have found that 7SK RNA binds the CDK9/cyclin T complex (known as elongation factor P-TEFb). The record is from Ensembl. Lineage: Eukaryota; Metazoa; Chordata; Mammalia; Carnivora; Canidae.
GGAUGAGAGGGUGAUCUGGCUUUGACAUCUGUCACCCCACUGAUCGCCAGGGUUGCUUGGCUGCUCUGGCUGGCUGGGCAGGUGUCCCCUCCCUCCCUCACCACUCCACAUGGUGCUGAAGCUGCUCGCUGGGUCCAAGAGGAAGACUUUCUUCAGUCAAGGGUAUAUGAGUAGCUGUAGUUCCCUGCUAGAACCUCCAAACAAGCUUUAAAGAUCUGUUUGUAGGAGAACAUCGGGUAGUCAAUCUUCCAAGAUUCUAGACACAUCCAGAUGAAGUGCCACAUGCAUGUGACAGUCUGAUUCUCU